GACGAACGCUGGCGGCGUGCUUAACACAUGCCAGUCGAACGGAAAGGCCCUGCUUUUGUGGGGUGCUCGAGUGGCGAACGGGUGAGUAACACGUGAGUAACCUGCCCUUGACUUUGGGAUAACUUCAGGAAACUGGGGCUAAUACCGGAUAGGAGCUCCUGCUGCAUGGUGGGGGUUGGAAAGUUUCGGCGGUUGGGGAUGGACUCGCGGCUUAUCAGCUUGUUGGUGGGGUAGUGGCUUACCAAGGCUUUGACGGGUAGCCGGCCUGAGAGGGUGACCGGCCACAUUGGGACUGAGAUACGGCCCAGAGUCCUACGGGAGGCAGCAGUGGGGAAUAUUGCACAAUGGGCGGAAGCCUGAUACAGCAACGCCGCGUGCGGGAUGACGGCCUUCGGGUUGUAAACCGCUUUCGCCUGUGACGAAGCGUGAGUGACGGUAAUGGGUAAAGAAGCACCGGCUAACUACGUG
This 468-nucleotide ribosomal RNA is filed under the name uncultured bacterium. Its description in RNAcentral is "partial 16S ribosomal RNA". It matches the Rfam family "Bacterial small subunit ribosomal RNA", at positions 28 to 507 of the family's 1533-position model. The record is from RNAcentral.